CGUGGAGCGAUUUGUCUGGUUUAUUCCGAUAACGAGCGAGACUCGAGCCUACUAACUAGUCUACAUAUCAAUGAUGUGUGUAGCACUUCUUAGAGGGAUUUUCGGUGUUUAGCCGCACGAGAUUGAGCAAUAACAGGUCUGUGAUGCCCUUAGAUGUCCGGGGCUGCACGCGCGCUACACUGGCAAAAGCAGCGUGCUUGUCCAUUCCCGAAAGGGAUUGGUAAACCAAUCAAGAUUUGCCGUGAUUGGGAUCGAAGAUUGCAAUUAUUUUUCGUGAACGAGGAAUUCCAAGUAAAUGCGAGUCAUCAACUCGCGUUGAAUACGUCCCUGCCCUUUGUAC
RNAcentral lists this ribosomal RNA (340 nucleotides) under Nematoda environmental sample. RNAcentral's name for it is "SSU rRNA". It matches the Rfam family "Eukaryotic small subunit ribosomal RNA", at positions 1300 to 1665 of the family's 1831-position model. Lineage: Eukaryota; Metazoa; Nematoda. The record is from RNAcentral.